GAAUCUGCAGCUGGACAACUGUGCCCGAGAGAAGAGGGGAGGCCCGAGGAACAGAAAGCAAGUCCUUCCCCACAGGUUAGACUCCACGAGCAGGCCCGUCGCAACUACACCCUGCAAGCCGCAGCCAGGAAGUCCUCCUGCAGAAAUGCUCACAGGCGUGCUGAUGAUGGACUGCAAGGUUGGUCGUUGCGAGCGUUGCUGGAAACGGCCGAAGUCUGGAAACAAUCUAAACGCUAUCAAUAAAGGCCUGAUUAAAUAAUGUAUGGUCUGUGCAUCCGAUGGCACACUCUGAAGAAAGCUUCUCGUACACUGGUCGCAUUCCUGUGGUUUGACUGGUAGUGGCUGGGGAGGCUUCACAUGGCAAUGCCCGAACCCCCAGAAGAAAGAGGGCAACCCAUUGCAAACACUUUCCAGCCUUUACUUGCAUGAUGUUUGCUGAAGUCCCUUUGGUCAAAGCACCUCACACAACCAAGCCCAAAUUCAAGGGGGAGAAACAAACUCCAUGUCUUCGAGUACAGUGGACAUCAGUUUUAAUCUACCACAUGGUGGAGCAGAGCCACCCUGGAGGUGGGCACGGUUGGGCCCUGGAAGUAGCCUUCUUGAGGUUGCUGAUACCAGAGGGUCAGCUGCAGAGUGGGGCCGCAGGCAGCUCCGAGCAGGGAUGCUGGACCUGGAGGAAUUGCCGG
Molecule: long non-coding RNA, 686 nt
Organism: Leopardus geoffroyi (Geoffroy's cat)
Lineage: Eukaryota; Metazoa; Chordata; Mammalia; Carnivora; Felidae
Exons: 3
Source: RefSeq, a predicted model, not a curated record